AGAGUUCGAUCCUAGCUCGGGAUGAACGCCGGCGGCAUGCUUAACACAUGCAAGUCGGACGGGAAGUGGUGUUUCCAAUGGCGGACGGGUGAGUAACGCGUAAGAACCUGCCCUUUGGGAGGGGAACAACAACUGAAAACGGUUGCUAAUACCCCCGUGUAGGUCGAGGAGCAAAGGAGGAAUCCGCCGAGGAGGGGCUUCGCGUCUGAUUAGCUAGUUGGUGAGGUAAUAGCUUACCAAGGCGAUGAUCGAGAGGUCGGUCCGAGAGGAUGAUCACCACACCGGGACUAAGACACGGCCCGCACUCCUACGGGAGGCAACAAGGGGAAUUUUUCCAAUGGGCUUAAAGCCCGACGGAGAAAUGCCGCGUGGAGGUAGAAGGCCCACGGGUCAUGAACUUCUUUUCUGGAGAAGAAACAAUGACGGUAUCGAGGAAUAAGCAUCAUCUAACUUUCGUGCCACCGCAGAAGACAGAGGAUGCAAGCGUUAUCCGAAUGAUUGGGCGAAGCACCUGUGGGUGGCUUUUCAAGUCCGUCGUCAAAUCCCGUGGCUCAACCACCGACAAAGGCGGUGGAAACUACCAAGCUGGAGUACGGUAGGUGCAGAGGGAAUUUCCGGUGGAGCGGUGAAAUGCAUAGAGAUCGGAAAGAACACCAACGGGCGAAACCACUCUCACCGGGUCGACACUAACACCGAGACGAAAGCUAAGGGAGCAAAUGGGAUUAGAUACCCCAAGAGUCCUAGUCGUAAACGAUGGAUACUAGGCGCCGUAUCGACCGAUCUGAUCUUUGUCAGAAGCUACGCGUUAAGUAUCCCUUUGGGGAGUACGUUCGCAAGAAUGAAACUCAAAGGAAUUGAUCGGGGCCCGCACAAGUGGUGGAGCAUGUGGUUUAAUUUGAUGCAAAGCGGUACCUUACCGAGCUUGACAUGUCGUGAAUCAUCUUGAAAGAGAGGGUGCCUUGAACGCGGACACAGUGGUGCAUGGUCGUCGUCACUCGAGCCGUAAGGUGUUGGGUUAAGUCCCGCAAUGAGCAAACACUCAUGUUUAGUUGCCACCAUUGAGUUUGGAACCCCCAACAGACUGCCGGUGAUAAGCGGAGGAAGGUGGGGAUGACGCAAGUCAUCAUGCCCCUUAUGCCCCGGGCGACACGUGCUACAAUGGUCGGGACAAAGGGUCGCGAUCCCGCGAGGGUGAGCUAACCCCAAAAACCCGCCCUCGCCUCGGAUUGCAGGCUGCAACUCGCCCAUGAAAAGCUGGAAUCGCUAAUAAUCGCCCGGUCACCAUACGACGGUGAAUUCGCUCCUGCCUUGUACACACCGCCACACACUAUGGGAGCCGGCCAUGCCCGGUUGUUACCUUAAUCGCAAGGAGGGGGUGUGUCAAGGCGGGGCUAGUGACUGGAGUGAAGUCGUAACAAGGUAGCCGUACCGGAAGGUGCGGUUG
This 1444-nucleotide ribosomal RNA is filed under the name Musa schizocarpa. RNAcentral describes it as "bacterial SSU rRNA". It matches the Rfam family "Bacterial small subunit ribosomal RNA". Lineage: Eukaryota; Viridiplantae; Streptophyta; Magnoliopsida; Zingiberales; Musaceae. The record is from RNAcentral.